UUCUCUACAAUUAGACGCAAAGUCGCGUUUUCAAAUUCCUCAACUCCGCAGCAGCUUUAGCAGCAAAUAGUAAGCGUUCAUUGACUACAUCACUAUAUCGAUCGUCGUGCUCUCGAAAUUCGUUGAUUUCAAGGAAAUGGAUUGUCGAAGAAUCUUGAUUGCUGCGCUACUGUCGAUUAUCGUGACGCAGGGAGAGAGCAAAGCGCUGGAAUCGCCGCAGUACACGGUGGUGCAUUCGGAAUCUGAUUUUGAGGUGAGGUUCUACAGGGAAUCGGCUUGGAUGACCGCCGCCACUGAUGAAAUCUCCUUUGAGAAAGCUACGAGAUACGGAUUCCAUAGAUUGUUCCAGUUCAUAGAAGGCGCAAACUUGAACUCCUCCCGAAUACCAAUGACUGUCCCUGUUUUAACAAGCAUAAUCCCGGAAGGAGGACCUCUCCACUCGUCAGCAUACGCCGUGAAAUUCUACCUGCCGGAAAAGUUUCAGGCGACACCACCGCUCCCACUUCCUGAGCUGAACCUCCAGCCAGAUUGGUGGGAAGGUCAUUGCAUCGCCGCCAGAAAAUUUACAGGAUUCGCGAGGGAUAAGAACAUCGUCAAGGAAGCUGAGAAACUCGCCGUCAGUUUGAGCAGGUCUCCUUGGGCGAACUCGACCUCUACUCAGAGUGGAUACGCGUAUUCUAUCGCACAGUAUAAUUCCCCUUUCAGGUUCAUCGGCCGUGUGAACGAAGUUUGGGUGGAUAUCGAAGGAUCCGAGGCAGGCGGUUGCAAGCCCAAUGUCUUGGCUACGUUCGAAAGCUCUUCGAAAGCGAAAGAAAUUCUUACAUACAUGUGAACCGGCGCGUAACGCAAUCUUCCAUGGCUGCCGUCCCGGGUUUCAUUACCGGCUAAGAUGCAGGUUUUCUUCCCGCCAUUGGCAGCUUAAUUUGACAGAAAAAAAAAGACGAGGAGGAGCGAUGAAAGCAAGACGAAUGUAAACACCGAAGAAGACAACCUUAAAUCGCGUUUCAGAACCAAGUUGUUGUUUGGCGAUGCGUCCCGAUUAUGCCAUAAGAACUCGGCUUCAACAAGCGAAGCGCCUAACGUCCAAGAAACAUCUCCGGGACCGAAUAUUAUGUCCACGCCAGCUAGGCAGAGAGCGUUUUCGAUAAGCGAUGCCAAGUAGGGCAUUCGGAAACAAUCUUGGCCGUUGAAGCCUUUCGGAUUAUCCCCCGAUCUGGCGCAUAGGUUCUCGCCUGACUCCCACAGUGUCGACAGAUUCAACGUCUGGCUUAGAUUUAGCGCGCGGUAGAUGGCGAAAAAUCCAGACAUUGCGUGGUAACGGGAGACGUAGUGCAGACUUCUCG
Andrographis paniculata is the source of this 1343-nucleotide RNA transcript. RefSeq lists it as uncharacterized. The transcript has 3 exons. The record is from RefSeq and is a predicted model, not a curated record. Lineage: Eukaryota; Viridiplantae; Streptophyta; Magnoliopsida; Lamiales; Acanthaceae.